AUACGGAGGAUCCGAGCGUUAUCCGGAUUUAUUGGGUUUAAAGGGUGCGCAGGCGGGAGAUUAAGUCGGCGGUGAAAUUUUGCAGCUCAACUGUAAAAGUGCCUUCGAAACUGGUUUCCUUGAGUGUAGGAGAAGUAGGCGGAAUUUGUGGUGUAGCGGGGAAAUGCAUAGAUAUCACGAGGAACUCCGAUUGCGCAGGCAGCUUACUAAACUACUACUGACGCUCAGGCACGAAGGCGUGGGGAUCAAACAGGAUUAGAUACCCUGGUAGUCCACGCAGUAAACGAUGAUUACUAGCUGUUUGCGAUACAAUGUAAGCGGCUGAGCGAAAGCGUUAAGUAAUCCACCUGGGGAGUACGUUCGCAAGAAUGAAACUCAAAUGAAUUGGCGGGG
Molecule: ribosomal RNA, 393 nt
Filed under: uncultured bacterium
Lineage: Bacteria
Description: partial 16S ribosomal RNA
Rfam family: Bacterial small subunit ribosomal RNA
Source: RNAcentral